Molecule: transfer RNA, 84 nt
Filed under: Deltaproteobacteria bacterium
Lineage: Bacteria; Pseudomonadati; Myxococcota; Myxococcia
Description: tRNA-Leu
Rfam family: tRNA
About the family: Transfer RNA (tRNA) molecules are approximately 80 nucleotides in length. Their secondary structure includes four short double-helical elements and three loops (D, anti-codon, and T loops). Further hydrogen bonds mediate the characteristic L-shaped molecular structure. tRNAs have two regions of fundamental functional importance: the anti-codon, which is responsible for specific mRNA codon recognition, and the 3' end, to which the tRNAs corresponding amino acid is attached (by aminoacyl-tRNA synthetases). tRNAs cope with the degeneracy of the genetic code in two manners: having more than one tRNA (with a specific anti-codon) for a particular amino acid; and 'wobble' base-pairing, i.e. permitting non-standard base-pairing at the 3rd anti-codon position.
Source: RNAcentral
GCGAGAGUGGCGGAAUUGGCAGACGCACUAGACUUAGGAUCUAGCGGGCAAACCGUGGGGGUUCGAAUCCCCCCUCUCGCACCA